GGCGGAUUCGUCUAAAUGGUCAGGAUAGGAGACUCUCAAUCUCCAGAUGUCGGGUUCGAGCCCCGCAUCCGUCA
This 74-nucleotide transfer RNA is filed under the name Eubacterium sp. RNAcentral's name for it is "tRNA-Glu". It matches the Rfam family "tRNA". From Rfam's summary of the family: Transfer RNA (tRNA) molecules are approximately 80 nucleotides in length. RNAcentral also lists the same sequence under 2 other names. The record is from RNAcentral. Lineage: Bacteria; Bacillati; Bacillota; Clostridia; Eubacteriales; Eubacteriaceae.